UGGGGAAUAUUGGACAAUGGGGGAAACCCUGAUCCAGCAAUGCCGCGUGAGUGAUGAAGGCCUUAGGGUUGUAAAGCUCUUUCAGAAGUGAAGAUGAUGACGGUAACUUCAGAAGAAGCUCCGGCUAACUCCGUGCCAGCAGCCGCGGUAAUACGGAGGGAGCUAGCGUUGUUCGGAAUUACUGGGCGUAAAGAGCGUGUAGGCUGUUAGGUAAGUCAGAGGUGAAAUCCCUAAGCUCAACUUAGGAACUGCCUUUGAUACUAUCUUACUAGAGAUCGAGAGAAGUUGGCGGAAUUCCAAGUGUAGAGGUGAAAUUCGUAGAUAUUUGGAAGAACACCAGUGGCGAAAGCGGCCAACUGGCUCGUUUCUGACGCUAAGACGCGAAAGCGUGGGUAGCAAACAGG
RNAcentral lists this ribosomal RNA (404 nucleotides) under uncultured bacterium. Its description in RNAcentral is "bacterial SSU rRNA". It matches the Rfam family "Bacterial small subunit ribosomal RNA", at positions 355 to 776 of the family's 1533-position model. The record is from RNAcentral.